Cinara cedri is the source of this 203-nucleotide non-coding RNA. The record is from the annotation of a GenBank genome assembly. Lineage: Eukaryota; Metazoa; Arthropoda; Insecta; Hemiptera; Aphididae.
CAUUAAUAAAACUUGAUCAUGAACAUAAAUUGUUCGUUUAAAAAUACGCCUAUAAAAUUUCGAAACCGAAAGUGUCGGCCACGCUUACACCGCUUAUAUGCACGUCACGCCACUGCCAACGAUUCGUCGGCCCGUUUUUUCGGCGAAUCGCGUGAUUCGAGCGGGCAUGUAAUAUACAUGCAUCAUUCGCGUCGCCACUGCGG